GACGAACGCUGGCGGCGUGCUUAACACAUGCAAGUCGAACGGAAAGGCCCUGCUUUUGUGGGGUGCUCGAGUGGCGAACGGGUGAGUAACACGUGAGUAACCUGCCCUUGACUUUGGGAUAACUUCAGGAAACUGGGGCUAAUACCGGAUAGGAGCUCCUGCUGCAUGGUGGGGGUUGGAAAGUUUCGGCGGUUGGGGAUGGACUCGCGGCUUAUCAGCUUGUUGGUGGGGUAGUGGCUUACCAAGGCUUUGACGGGUAGCCGGCCUGAGAGGGUGACCGGCCAAAUUGGGACGGGGAUACGGCCCACGCCCCCUCGGGGGGGAGGAGGGGGGAAAUUGGCAAAAGGGGGGGAAGCCGGAGGCAGCAACGCCGCGGGGGGGAUGACGGCCUUGGGGUUGUAAACCGCUUUCGCCUGUGAGGAAGCGGGAGGGACGGUAAUGGUAAAAGAAGCACCGGCUAACUACGU
Molecule: ribosomal RNA, 467 nt
Filed under: uncultured bacterium
Lineage: Bacteria
Description: partial 16S ribosomal RNA
Rfam family: Bacterial small subunit ribosomal RNA
Source: RNAcentral